GUCGCCUCUCCGCCCGAGUAAGUGGGGCAGCCCUGAGGGGCCUCUGGAAACAGAACGGGCUUUGAACAAAGGAGGGAGGGGCGGAUAUUGCCUGCCGGUUCUCAGCCCCUGUCCAGGAUCUGCCAAAGUACAAGGGCUACGGCUGCCCACGUAGUGAUGAACACACAGAGCUUGUGGAACGCUCCAUUUCCACGACGCACCUAUUUGAGCCCGUUAGAAAGGAGAGGAGGUCACAGAAGCCAGCGGAAUCUUCUGAGAAAUGUAGCUACUUAAUGACAACCAUGACAGUGCUUGUAUCAAAUACCCUCAAACUGACCUAGAAAUCUAAAGAGGAAAAAUAUGAUCUGUACUUUUCUUAAGUACAUCUUUGCCUUAUUUUGGGGGUUGACAGAUGAUUUUUUUUUAAAGAUGCAGACUUCCCAAUAAUUUUUAGAAUACUGCCAAAUAAAAUCAUGGCCAACAGCUGUAAGCCAACACAGAGCUGGGUUUCCUUUGGCAAAGCUGGGAGAAGACUCGUCACCCGACCAAAUCCCAUCUCUGCCCUCAGCAAGGUCCGGCAGGUCCCAGGAGACGUGGUUAUGCUCUCGCUUUGCUCUCUUGACCCCGAAGCCCUCCCAGCUCUUGAACAGCAAAGCCAAAAAUAGGGUCCUCACUUCCAGGCUGCAGCUGGCUUCAGCUGUAAUCACCCAAACCAAGACUGAAAGGCCCCCAAUAUCACGAGUUUCUUACUGUCGCCAUAGACUUGCUUAGACUAACACUCAUUCUUAAGAGCCCCCAAGAGUUCGGCACAAAGGACAAAGUUAAACACAGCAAGCUACACUGACGAAGGGUCUGAGACAGACUGAGCAGGUGCCCCCGCGACUGAAAAUUGACAGGUCAUUUCACCUAACAGCUGGAAGGUUAAAAAGCGUGAAAGUGAACGCAUUCUGGUGUCUAAACUCUUCCGUGGGGUUUGCAUUUGCACCUUGGUCUUCCAGUUCCUGCUUCACAAAGAAUAAUUAGCAGAGUUCAACGCAGGCUUUAAUAGACAACCUCCACUCUGUGCCUGCAGCCAGAUUUCCACAUCUUCAUCACAAGGUGCUGGUAGAACACAA
Vicugna pacos (alpaca) is the source of this 1094-nucleotide non-coding RNA. The record is from RefSeq and is a predicted model, not a curated record. NCBI's taxonomy places the organism in Eukaryota, Metazoa, Chordata, Mammalia, Artiodactyla, Camelidae.